UAAUAAUUAAUUAUAUAUUUACUAUUUUACCCUAUUUUUUAUAGCCCCAAAUUAAUUUAAUUGCAAAUGAUUCCUCAUUUCAAUUUCUUUUUAACGACAGAUUUUUGAGAAAUUUAUUUUAUAGCCCGAUUUUUAGUCUUACCUGAUGCUGCUAGAGUUUUUCUUCUGAUUGCUCAUUGUUCAGAGUCUUACAUGUUGCUGCUGGAGUUUUUCUUCUAAUUACUCAUUGUUCGUCAGUCUUCCUCUUCGUCGGGACCACCUCGGUAUGAAAUUCAGAGCCGCCGUGUGUUGUGAGCGACAACUAGAUCGAAGGGGAGUCGCAAAAGAAGAAUGAAGGGGCUAUAAAAUAUAUAUUUCAUAUUUGGUUGUUGUCUUGUUCAAGUCUUCGAGAAUCAAGAGGCUUCCGGUUUCGAUCGUAAUAUAUAUUUCGGGGAUGAACCGAUUGUAUAUGCAUUUCAGGAAUUCUAGUAAACAUUUCCCUAUUUUAUGUUUUCUUGUUUCAAUAUUGGUUGCUUUAUCUUAGUUAUUGGAAGUCCCUUUUUUUUGAAGUAUUAAUGAGAAGCUAUUACUCUUAUGUAUUGUCAAUUUUGUUAUAGCAGAUUGUAUAUUGUAAUUAAUUGAUAACUUUAUGGAAUGAAAUGAGUUUCUUUUACACCUCAAUAGUGAUGGCAAUAUCAUCGAUGCUCUUACAGUUGUUGGAGGAAGAGUUCAAUACUUUAAUUAAUAAGAAGGAUCAAAUGAAUAUUGAAACAAAUAAUGGAUAUACGAUUUAUUGGAGAACUUUUUAAGUCUAAAAUUGCUCGUGCCAGCUUGGUUUUUAGUUGUCUAAAGGAUAGCGAGGACAACAGGAAACUCAAUGAUUUGUUAGGCUAUAUGUCUUGCAGAUCAUGGUGGAAAAAAGGAGAUUACAGAAGGUGUUGCAGCUGGUCUUGCUGCAUUAACAACAGAGAACUCAAAACAUGGUGAGAGAGACGAAUCUUGCGUUGUUGCUUCUGCAGCGACCUUAGUGGCUGAGACGAUGAGAGCCAAGAUGGAGCAGCUGAGCAGCGUGAUAGGCUCAAGAAUCAGCAGCACAAUUUUCAGCGAGAUAGUAACGCUACCAGCUGCUGCUACAACAUGUAUGAGCUAGUACUUUCAUAUUAGGAUAACAAAAGUUUUUAGAUGAACCAAAUAAUGGCAAACUGCAUAUUAGUGUGUCUCUCUACAUUGUUGGCAAAAUGCAUUAAAGCUAACAGCGUACAGUGCAACAUAAAACUUAUCAAUUUCAGUUCAAAAAUAUUAAUUAUGAUGGGCUCCUA
Salvia miltiorrhiza (redroot sage) is the source of this 1298-nucleotide long non-coding RNA. RefSeq lists it as uncharacterized. NCBI's taxonomy places the organism in Eukaryota, Viridiplantae, Streptophyta, Magnoliopsida, Lamiales, Lamiaceae. The record is from RefSeq and is a predicted model, not a curated record. The transcript is spliced from 3 exons.